AACGACAGUCAAGACAUUAUUAUAUCUGCAACACCACAAGAAAAUCAGCACAUGCAAACUCCAUUAUCAGUAACAGCAAAAACUAGGAUAUGGAUUUUCCAGCACCACUAACAACUAAAUCAAAACUAUUUCACAUGAUUGAUCAGCAAAAAGAAAAUACUCCCCUGUCCUAUUCAAAUUAUCACAGGAUGAGAAUAAAUGCAUUCCACAACCAAGUACCGAUUCAGCAUAUUGGCUUUUGAGUCCAGUUAAUCACAAUCACAAUCACAAACACAAUCAAUAGUGUUACUCCUCCUGAAGAGAGGAGUUCCAUAACAGGUUGAAGAUCACUUUAUGAAACAACAAAUUAAGAAUGAUAACAUAGGGAUUGUAGUCAUCAAACACCAAGGAUUCAGCCAGCUUAAGUUUUUGAAAUCAAGGGACCUUGAAGCAAAAUCAAUUUUGAAAUGUAUAAAGAAAGUUCCGGAAGAAAAAGCUCCUCUGUACAUCAUGAUAAAGAAUGCUUUCUACUCAAAAUAUGUUAAACUUAUGUGUCACGUAAGAUAAAUGUUAAGUGAUUGCCUAGUAAAUCACAUCUGAUCAUGUAGUUUCAUUAUAUGGCUCAACCCAAUCACCAGCAAUUUGGUCAAUACUAACUAAAAAAUCUGCGAAGUGGCCCUCCUGCUACUCAUGCAAUUAUCAGAUAUUAAAUGAUCGAACAUGAGUAGAAGCCACCUUAUGUGAAGUUUUUCAGGUAUUUGUGAACUGAGCUCAAUUUGAAUGAGAUACACGAGAUGUUAUAAUAACUUUUUCAACAAAUCCCCACUGUCCAUUUUUUUCUGAAAGAGGAUUCUUAAUAUUUUAAGAUUUCCCCUUAUGCAUUUCCAAAUCGGUAUAAGUCACUUAACUAAAUAUCGUAGGUUUCCAUUGAAGUACUUUCGAAUCAAAACAUAGUUAAGUCUGCACAAAUUAUUUUUUCUAUACCAUGUUUUUAUAGUGUAAAUAUAUGCAUCUAUAAUAUUUACUGCAAAAAUGAUUAAUACAUAACUCAAUGAUACAUAAAAAUUCCAAUGAAAACUAAACUCAAUCCAUUCUUUUAUAAAAGACGAAAUAAACUCACUCUUAUCUCAUUGAAAAGAACAUACUUACUCUUUGAGAUCAAAUCAUGCCACGAAUAUUUAACAUCUCUAAGACCAACAAUAAUAUUGGUGGGUUUGACAAGUGGUCUGAUCUGCAAUGACAUAAACACUGAGUAUCAAUAACAUCUGUUAUACAACCUAUUCCCAUACCACUGAAUAUAAGAAUAGAUUUUUUCCUUCAGAAUAAAAU
RNAcentral lists this long non-coding RNA (1308 nucleotides) under Carica papaya (papaya). Its description in RNAcentral is "long non-coding RNA (CPAP_LNC012494)". The record is from RNAcentral. Lineage: Eukaryota; Viridiplantae; Streptophyta; Magnoliopsida; Brassicales; Caricaceae.